UGAGGAAUUUUGCGCAAUGGGGGAAACCCUGACGCAGCAACGCCGCGUGAGUGAUGAAGGCUUUCGGGUCGUAAAGCUCUGUCAAGUGGGAAGAAACCACGAAAGGCCAAUACCCUUUUGUGCUGACGGUACCACUGAAGGAAGCACCGGCUAACUCCGUG
RNAcentral lists this ribosomal RNA (161 nucleotides) under uncultured Algidimarina sp. Its description in RNAcentral is "partial 16S ribosomal RNA". It matches the Rfam family "Bacterial small subunit ribosomal RNA", at positions 355 to 507 of the family's 1533-position model. Lineage: Bacteria; Deltaproteobacteria. The record is from RNAcentral.